GACGAACGCUGGCGGCGUGCCUAAUACAUGCAAGUCGAGCGAAUGGAUUAAGAGCUUGCUCUUAUGAAGUUAGCGGCGGACGGGUGAGUAACACGUGGGUAACCUGCCCAUAAGACUGGGAUAACUCCGGGAAACCGGGGCUAAUACCGGAUAACAUUUUGAACCGCAUGGUUCGAAAUUGAAAGGCGGCUUCGGCUGUCACUUAUGGAUGGACCCGCGUCGCAUUAGCUAGUUGGUGAGGUAACGGCGCACCAAGGCAACGAUGCGUAGCCGACCUGAGAGGGUGAUCGGCCACGCUGGGACUGAGACACGGCCCAGACUCCUACGGGAGGCAGCAGUAGGGAAUCUUCCGCAAUGGACGAAAGUCUGACGGAGCAACGCCGCGUGAGUGAUGAAGGCUUUCGGGUCGUAAAACUCUGUUGUUAGGGAAGAACAAGUGCUAGUUGAAUAAGCUGGCACCUUGACGGUACCUAACCAGAAAGCCACGGCUAACUACGUGCCAGCCGCCGCAGUAA
This 515-nucleotide ribosomal RNA is filed under the name uncultured bacterium. RNAcentral describes it as "partial 16S ribosomal RNA". It matches the Rfam family "Bacterial small subunit ribosomal RNA", at positions 28 to 523 of the family's 1533-position model. The record is from RNAcentral.